RNAcentral lists this long non-coding RNA (1309 nucleotides) under Homo sapiens (human). Its description in RNAcentral is "HSALNT0122053". The record is from RNAcentral. Lineage: Eukaryota; Metazoa; Chordata; Mammalia; Primates; Hominidae.
CGGCACCGCCUUCCUAACGGCUGUUUGUUUUUGCACACGGCACGCGGAGGCGGGGCCUCCAGCCCCAAUAGUGACGCGCUCUCUGCCUUUCACCAGGCGCCCAAGCCUGACGAACAGAAAGGCAAACCAAUGAGAUUGGACGCCUCGCAGACGAAAGCCAAUAAAAAUAUCGCCCGCGAGCAAGGGAGGCGGGCCACUGGGAAGGACAGCAAAAUUAGCUAAUAAGGUGAAGCGAUUGCAGGCGCUGUGGCUUUCCCGCCCAUUCGCGGCGUUGGUUUUCCCGCUUCUGAGACUUGUUUGGGGAGGUAAAGAGUGUUGGACGUGCUUCUCCUGGUUAAAAUUUGGAGGAUAACUCCCAGCUAGAAAGGAAGAAAAGCUCUAAAGUGGAAUCGCCUUCCCCCGGAAGCUGUUGUAAAAAUUAAAGGAUGUAUGUGAGUGCACAGGCUCUCCAGCGAUCGUUUUUCUUCCACAGUGUUAACACAAUUUAUUUAUUUAUUUACUUUUUGAGAUGAAGUCUCACUCUGUUGCCCAGGCUGGAUGGAGUGCAGUGGUGUGAUCUGGGCUCACUGCAACCUCCGCCUCCUGAGUUCAAGCGAUUCUCCUGCCUCAGCCUCCUGGGUAGCUGGGACUAAAGGCUCCCACCACCAUUCCCCGCUAGUUUUUGUAUUUUUAGUAGAAAUAGGGUUUCACCAUGUUGGCCAGGCUGGUCUUGAACUCCUGACCUCAAGUGAUCCUCUCGCCUCAGCCUCCUAAAGUGCUGGGAUUACAGGCGUGAGCCACCGCGCCUGGCCUGUUUCCACAAUUAAAAAAGGCCCAUCACCCUAUCAUGAUCAUCUCUAUUACAGUCUGGACAAUAUGAGCUUUCUGGGAGAGCCAGCUUCAUUUCAUAACUGAAGAAAUGGGCUUAGGUGAACUUAGUCAUUUGCCUGAGACCGCAUAGCCUGUAGAUAACCAAGAUACCAGCUCACAUUUGUUCCAACUCAUUCCAGCUUUAAAUUCUUUCAUUCUUUUCACAGUAUGAUGCAUUGACUGUGCUAGAAUGUGUUCUUGGUGUUGGUGAGUUAAUAGUGAAAAAAACAAGUUUCUGCCUUAGUGGAGAUUCUGUUGUCAUAGGAUUUUCCCAGGCUGGCACUUUAGAAAUUUAUAUCCAGGCUGAUGAUAGCUGUUCCAAAGUUUGAAUCAGGAGAAGCAACUUUGGGGAAGUGAGUCUUUAAAAAAAGGUAACUUAAAUUCAAGAAGAGGAAGAGGGUGAGCUUCUAAGUAAGAAUUUGGAAAAAUACGGAUGAAGGUACAGACAAGUGUGAGGAAG